This is a long non-coding RNA of Salvelinus namaycush (lake trout), 500 nucleotides long. RefSeq lists it as uncharacterized. The transcript has 3 exons. Lineage: Eukaryota; Metazoa; Chordata; Actinopteri; Salmoniformes; Salmonidae. The record is from RefSeq and is a predicted model, not a curated record.
UCCUCGAUGGCAGGGAGCCCGGCGCCAGUCUUGUACUGGGCUGUCCGCACCACCUUCUGUAGCGCCAUGUGAUUGAGGCCGGUGCUGUUGCCAUGCCAAGCAGUGAUGCAGCCAGUAAAGAUGCUCUCAAUGGUGCAGCUAUAGAACUUUUUGAGGAUCUGAGGGCCUGUCAUGCCAAAUAGUGUCCCCCUGCCAAAAAGGGCCCACCCCUGCGUCACAAUGAUAUUCAAUAGCUUCCGUUGCUGGGGCUUUUGCUAGAACUUGCAAAAUCCUUACCUCAGAAUCGCUCUCCAAGGACGGUGUUUUUGACGGUGAUUACCUGCUCACUAGCUACCGCUUCAGGAGACCGAAAAGACUGUGAAGUACUCUGAAGGCACCACUGAUCUCGACAAGGGGCGCAACAUUCGUUGCGGGCAGAGAAAUUCACAAUUCGGGUUAAAGUUAAGCAGGACCUAGGGGUUCUGCCCAACACCUAGACAUGGAUCCACCUGAUGUCCUCC